UACGGAGGGGGCUAGCGUUGUUCGGAAUUACUGGGCGUAAAGCGCGCGUAGGCGGGCUGUUAAGUCGAGGGUGAAAUCCCGGGGCUCAACCCCGGAACUGCCUUCGAUACUGGCAGCCUAGAGGUCGGGAGAGGUGAGUGGAAUGCCGAGUGUAGAGGUGAAAUUCGUAGAUAUUCGGCGGAACACCCGUGGCGAAGGCGGCUCACUGGCGCAUUUCUGACGCUGAGGUGCGAAAGCGUGGGGAGCAAACAGG
This 253-nucleotide ribosomal RNA is filed under the name uncultured bacterium. RNAcentral describes it as "partial 16S ribosomal RNA". It matches the Rfam family "Bacterial small subunit ribosomal RNA", at positions 524 to 776 of the family's 1533-position model. The record is from RNAcentral.